AGCUUGGAGCUUUCAGUUUAUUUGCUUAACAAGAGUUCACAGACUCUGCAGGCCAGCGGUGAAGCUUGCAGACCUCCCAGGGCCAGGAAACCAAUCUUUAGUGUUUUCUUACAGACACUGGGGAGAGGCGAUUUCCCAUCCUCCACCGCGUCCUACGUGCACUGAUGGGGAAGCAAAAGCAGGAGCUGGGACUUCAGUCCCUGGUGGCCUCCAGGUGGGACCCCACCAUGAAAGCACAGGUGAUUUCCCCAAGAAAACGACAAGAACAGUAGGAGCCGGCCUGUGCUAGGGUCGAGCAGCUUGAACUCCAUUUUCAGAACGUAGGAGAAAGCCCUGAGGCAGAGAGGCGACCCAGUUCGUGUGUUCAAGGUCCAGCUUGGCUGUCCAGGAAGGACGCAGAGGAGGACGCUGGCCGCCCGGUUGGAAACUGUGGCCGUGCGGUUGGCGCCGGGGAGAAGGAAGCGGCCCUCAGCUGUUGGCUGGGCUGAGCAGAGGAAGGGGCAAAAGCCACCUCGUGCCUCUGGCUUGUGUCCUGUGUCUCAGUGAGGGAGACGAAGAUUCCCACGGAGCCUCAUAUUUCCUUGAUGGGGGAGGGGAGAAGGGCCAGGUUUUGAUAGGGUGGAUUUGAGGGGUUCAGGAGACAUUGAGGCAGAAACAGCAGCGGUGGACAAGGGGCUUCAGAGGGAACCCCCUAGGGAGUUUUCUAAGGCUACCUCCUCACUCUGGGUGCCUCUUUCUGCCCUGAAGCUUGGGAAGCUUAUCUUAGUGUCUGAAUUUGAAGUUCCACAGAAAACACUACCUACUUUUUGAGUGGUUUGAUUCUGUUAAAAAUCUCAAAUUUAGAAAGUAAAUUUAAAAGCGGUGCUCUUUUCUGA
This is a long non-coding RNA of Cavia porcellus (domestic guinea pig), 875 nucleotides long. RefSeq lists it as uncharacterized. Lineage: Eukaryota; Metazoa; Chordata; Mammalia; Rodentia; Caviidae. The record is from RefSeq and is a predicted model, not a curated record. The transcript has 2 exons.